Molecule: long non-coding RNA, 531 nt
Organism: Eupeodes corollae
Lineage: Eukaryota; Metazoa; Arthropoda; Insecta; Diptera; Syrphidae
Exons: 2
Source: RefSeq, a predicted model, not a curated record
GAAAAAUAACAACUUCACCCACAUUCUGUGGCCAAAUAAAAGUUUAUAGACAAUUUUUUCUCGAAGUGGGGAAAUGAAUUUGUUUCUUGAGAAAAAUUGACAGAUGGCGUUUGAUUUGAGGUGAGAAAACAAUUUUUGGAAAUUUAACCAAACGUCAGUGGGACUCAUUAAAAAUAUGCAAAGAAAGUAUUUAACAUAAUUUAAAAUUCAUUAAUGAUAAAAUAAAUAGUUUUAUCACUGAGCAACAUUCGAUAUUAUAUACAUAUUUAUGUAGUUUCCAAAAUAGCUUCAAACUUGUCACGUAAUAACAGAAACAGAAAGAAUAUUCUUCUACAAAGUGGAGGCUUUGACAUUUCGGAACAAAUGGGACAUGUACAAUGUCAUCUCACCUUAUUGCCUCGUUCGCAUUAACAACAUUUCUACACUCUGUUCCUUUUUAACCAUCGCUGAUCAUUUCUUGUCAUAUGUAUAUAUUUUUUGUACAGAAAAAUCGUUUAUUUUAUUGUAUGAGAAUAAAAGUCAAGAAAUCAA